UACCAGCACCCCGAGUGGUCGGGACGAUUAUUGGGCCUAAAGCAUCCGUAGCCGGUUCUACAAGUCUUCCGUUAAAUCCACCUGCUUAACAGAUGGGCUGCGGAGGAUACUAUGGAGCUAGGAGGCGGGAGAGGCAAGCGGUACUUAGUGGGUAGGGGUAAAAUCCGUUGAUCCAUUGGAGACCACCAGUGGCGAAGGCGGCUUGCCAGAACGCACUCGACGGUGAGGGAUGAAAGCUGGGGGAGCAAACCGG
This 253-nucleotide ribosomal RNA is filed under the name uncultured bacterium. Its description in RNAcentral is "partial 16S ribosomal RNA". It matches the Rfam family "Archaeal small subunit ribosomal RNA", at positions 474 to 727 of the family's 1478-position model. The record is from RNAcentral.